GUUGCGACCCCAGGUCAGGCGGGGCUACCCGCUGAGUUUAAGCAUAUCAAUAAGCGGAGGAAAAG
RNAcentral lists this ribosomal RNA (65 nucleotides) under Portulaca hatschbachii. RNAcentral describes it as "partial large subunit ribosomal RNA". It matches the Rfam family "Eukaryotic large subunit ribosomal RNA", at positions 1 to 61 of the family's 3401-position model. Lineage: Eukaryota; Viridiplantae; Streptophyta; Magnoliopsida; Caryophyllales; Portulacaceae. The record is from RNAcentral.